Chlorocebus sabaeus (green monkey) is the source of this 804-nucleotide non-coding RNA. The record is from RefSeq and is a predicted model, not a curated record. NCBI's taxonomy places the organism in Eukaryota, Metazoa, Chordata, Mammalia, Primates, Cercopithecidae.
CUCCCCCUCCUGCCUCGCUUCCCAUCCCCCUUUCCUCUGCGCCCUUCCCCUCCCCCCGCUGUCAAGUGCCCACCCUUCCCCCUCCCGCAGACGCCGCCACCAAAGUUCGAGCCGCUCCUCCCCAGCCCAGCGCGCGCCCCGCCCCGUGCCCCACGUGCAGCGCCCCCACCAAUGGGCGCACCGCGCGCGCGGACCCGGAUCAGGAAACGCGCGGAGACAAUCUGUUUCGCGUUUUCCUAAGAAAAAUUGGAACCUUCGUAAUAGCAUCUAAUUUGAUGGGGUUGUCGAUGUGAGAGCUAAAUAUGCCCGCGAUUGCAAGAGCGAGAGUCCACCAGACUGUUCUCUAUCUGAUGCGUGUUUCUGGAGCUGAACAGUGGAGUGGCAGAAUUUCAAAAUGCCUGAUGGUAGCAUUUGAAGGCUUACCCUCCAACACCUACACUAGACACAAGAUUUGAGAGGAACAACACUUUACCAGCCAUUUGACCAAUUAAUAGUUUGGGGGUAAUUUUCUUGUAGUAGUUUAAAAUAAUGCACACAACCCAGGGAUGAGGACUGAUAUUCAUAUUGGGAUUACACAUGAAUUUUAACUUGGAUUGUAUGAGAGGCCUGAGGUUCAAAAUCCUCCAAAUAAAGAAGCAAGCACUCUAAAAGCAAUAACUUCUGCGAGUACCCUUUUCUUUUACUUUGAAGACUAACUAAGAGAUAUCUAUGGUUUUUGAAGUUGACAUGUUUCUAAGGUGUGUCACAUGUUUUUAACAAAAAACACAAUAAAAAGGUUUUUCCCAAAGAGACACAUAAUUGUCU